CCCCUGAUAGAGAACUAUAGGAGCAGGGCUACAUGGCGAGGACUGGCUGGCGUUAGUAAAUGUAUUUGAUCAGUAUACUUAUUUAUAAUAAUAUUAUUUAGAGCACCUCUCGUGAAUCCAUUUGCGCAUUAUUAUUAUUUUUAAAAAUUUUUAUCAAUAUCAUCCUAAAUAUUAUAUUUUAUAUAAAUAUCUUUUCAAAAUUGAUAUUUAUAUAUAUACCCUCGUAAAAUAUUUAUUUUAUUCUUCUAUUUUUUUAUUUUU
RNAcentral lists this long non-coding RNA (261 nucleotides) under Phoenix dactylifera (date palm). RNAcentral describes it as "long non-coding RNA (PDAC_LNC008896)". The record is from RNAcentral. Lineage: Eukaryota; Viridiplantae; Streptophyta; Magnoliopsida; Arecales; Arecaceae.